Molecule: ribosomal RNA, 383 nt
Filed under: uncultured eukaryote
Lineage: Eukaryota
Description: partial 18S ribosomal RNA
Rfam family: Eukaryotic small subunit ribosomal RNA
Source: RNAcentral
CAGUAGCGUAUAUUAAAGUUGUUGCAGUUAAAAAGCUCGUAGUUGGAUUUCUGGUGGGAGCGAUCGGUCUGGCGCUUAGCGCGAGUACUUGCAUCGUCUCCGGCCAUCCUUGGGGAGAGUCUGUCUGGCAUUAAGUUGUCGGGCAGAGGAUCCUCAUCGUUUACUGUGAAAAAAUUAGAGUGUUCAAAGCAGGCUUAUGCCGUUGAAUAUAUUAGCAUGGAAUAAUAAGAUAGGACUUUGGUACUAUUUUGUUGGUUUGCGCACCAAAGUAAUGAUUAAUAGGGACAGUUGGGGGUAUUCGUAUUCAGUUGUCAGAGGUGAAAUUCUUGGAUUUACGGAAGACGAACUACUGCGAAAGCAUUUACCAAGGAUGUUUUCAUUAA